GACGAACGCUGGCGGCGUGCCUAAUACAUGCAAGUUGAGCGAUGAAGAUUGGUGCUUGCACCAAUUUGUAGAGCAGCGAACGGGUGAGUAACGCGUGGGGAAUCUUCCUUUGAGCGGGGGACAACAUAUGGAAACGAAUGCUAAUACCGCAUAACAACUUUAAACACAAGUUUUAAGAUUGAAAGAUGCAAUUGCAUCACUCAAAGAUGAUUCCGCGUUGUAUUAGCUAGUUGGGGAGGUAAAGGCUCACCAAGGUGGAGAUACAUAGUGGACCUGAGAGGGAGGACGGGCACAAUGGGACUGGGGCCCGGCCCCAGACCCUUACGGAAGCAGCCGGAGGGGAUCAUCGGACAUGGGGGAAAGGCUGAACGAGGAACGCCGGGUGGGAGGAGAAAGGUUUCGGGUCGGAAAACUCUGUUCGUAGGGAAGGAAGUGAGUGAGGGUAGAAAGCUCAUCAAGUGACGGUAACUGCACAAGAAGGGACGGCUAACUACGUG
Molecule: ribosomal RNA, 497 nt
Filed under: uncultured bacterium
Lineage: Bacteria
Description: partial 16S ribosomal RNA
Rfam family: Bacterial small subunit ribosomal RNA
Source: RNAcentral